RNAcentral lists this ribosomal RNA (465 nucleotides) under uncultured bacterium. Its description in RNAcentral is "partial 16S ribosomal RNA". It matches the Rfam family "Bacterial small subunit ribosomal RNA", at positions 28 to 507 of the family's 1533-position model. The record is from RNAcentral.
GACGAACGCUGGCGGCGUGCUUAACACAUGCAAGUCGAACGGAAAGGCCCCUUUGGGGGUCCUCGAGUGGCGAACGGGUGAGUAACACGUGAGUAACCUGCCCUUGCCUUCGGGAUAACUUCAGGAAACUGGGGCUAAUACCGGAUAGGAAUCCUUUCUUCAUGGUGGGGGUUGGAAAGCUUCGGCGGUUUUGGAUGGACUCGCGGCUUAUCAGCUUGUUGGUGGGGUAGUGGCUUACCAAGGCUUUGACGGGUAGCCGGCCUGAGAGGGCGACCGGCCACAUUGGGACUGAGAUACGGCCCAGACUCCUACGGGAGGCAGCAGUGGGGAAUAUUGCACAAUGGGCGGAAGCCUGAUGCAGCAACGCCGCGUGCGGGAUGACGGCCUUCGGGUUGGAAACCGCUUUCAGCAGGGGCGAAGCUUGUGGUGACGGUACCUGCAGAAGAAGCACCGGCUAACUACGUG